GUGGGAUGAUGUGUACUGUGGUGAUGAACACGCUUUCCUCUGUCACAGAGAGAGCGAACGGAAGCAGCGUACGGUCGUCAGGAUGAAGAUUCACUCUGCUGCUGAUAUGUCCAAUCCUCUAAUUGAACAGCAGGUUAUACAACAGCUGCACGAUGAACUGAAGAAGCAGGUAGUGUCUGAUAUCAAACUGAGCUGGACUGAGAAAGAUGGACAGAAUUUCCACAAGGAGGAAGAAGAGAAAGAGGAGGAGAAAAGAUAAGGUUACCCUGAAUGUUUCUGAUUGGUUUCACCUGUGUUUGAUUGCCUUCUCUGGUCACCUGGUUGCCUGGCUAUUUAGGUUCCUCUGUUGGAUUGGCUCCUUGCAUAGGUCUUAUGUUUUGUUUAGUGCACUCUUGUGCUGUUGCCUUGUUUCUGUCAAGACUUUAAGUAAAGAUC
Long non-coding RNA from Oncorhynchus masou masou (cherry salmon), 435 nucleotides. RefSeq lists it as uncharacterized. NCBI's taxonomy places the organism in Eukaryota, Metazoa, Chordata, Actinopteri, Salmoniformes, Salmonidae. The transcript has 4 exons. The record is from RefSeq and is a predicted model, not a curated record.